GACGAACGCUGGCGGCGUGCUUAACACAUGCAAGUCGAACGGAAAGGCCCUGCUUUUGUGGGGUGCUCGAGUGGCGAACGGGUGAGUAACACGUGAGUAACCUGCCCUUGACUUUGGGAUAACUUCAGGAAACUGGGGCUAAUAUCGGAUAGGAGCUCCUGCUGCAUGGUGGGGGUUGGAAAGUUUCGGCGGUUGGGGAUGGACUCGCGGCUUAUCAGCUUGUUGGUGGGGUAUUGGCUUACCAAGGCUUUGACGGGUAGCCGGCCUGAGAGGGUGACCGGCCACAUUGGGACUGAGAUACGGCCCAGACUCCUACGGGAGGCAGCAGUGGGGAAUAUUGCACAAUGGGCGGAAGCCUGAUGCAGCAACGCCGCGUGCGGGAUGACGGCCUUCGGGUUGUAAACCGCUUUCGCCUGUGACGAAGCGUGAGUGACGGUAAUGGGUAAAGAAGCACCGGCUAACUACGUG
Molecule: ribosomal RNA, 468 nt
Filed under: uncultured bacterium
Lineage: Bacteria
Description: partial 16S ribosomal RNA
Rfam family: Bacterial small subunit ribosomal RNA
Source: RNAcentral